CUACGGGUCGCUGCAGUAGGGAAUAUUGCGCAAUGGGCGAAAGCCUGACGCAGCGACGCCGCGUGAGUGAAGAAGGCCCUCUGGGUUGUAAAGCUCUGUAAGAGGGGAAGAAAAGGCCCGCAAGGGAGAUUGACGGUACCCUCAAAGUAAGGACCGGCUAAAUAAGUGCCAGCAGCCGCGGUAAUACUUAUGGUCCGAGCGUUGUCCGGAAUGCCUGGGCGUAAAGGGUGCGUAGGCGGCCACAUAUGUCAGGUGUGAAAUCCCCGGGCUUAACCUGGGAACUGCGCUUGAAACUGUGUGGCUGGAGUAUGUGAGAGGUAAGCGGAAUUCCCGGAGUAGCGGUGAAAUGCGUAGAGAUCGGGAAGAACACCAGUGGCGAAGGCGGCUUACUGGCACAUAACUGACGCUGAGGCACGAAAGCGUGGGGAGCGAACGGGAUUAGAUACCCCUGUAGUC
RNAcentral lists this ribosomal RNA (456 nucleotides) under uncultured bacterium. RNAcentral's name for it is "partial 16S ribosomal RNA". It matches the Rfam family "Bacterial small subunit ribosomal RNA", at positions 339 to 795 of the family's 1533-position model. The record is from RNAcentral.